This 671-nucleotide unclassified non-coding RNA is filed under the name Hevea brasiliensis (rubber tree). The record is from RNAcentral. Lineage: Eukaryota; Viridiplantae; Streptophyta; Magnoliopsida; Malpighiales; Euphorbiaceae.
UUUUACUCCACAAAGAAAAUUUACUACUCUUUCCUUUUGUUCCAUAACAGGAAGUGAAAAAAAAAAUGCUGAAAGCAGCUGUGCUUAAAAAAAUAAUAAAAAAAAAGGUGACAACAUUUGCUUCACAUCAUAGAUGACGAAAAUUGAAAAUUCACUCCUAAAUAAGAAAGGGUGCGACCAAAUGAAACACAUGCUAAAUUGCUAACCAAACCAGAUUUUCCCCUUUCUGUACUUGCACGGUUUUAGAUUCUCCAUUACCUUAAAAAGUUCAUUUGCCAAUGAUGCGAAGUCUUCAGCUCCAUUUUGCAGCUCUGCAGUACGCCUGCUGAUUCUCUGAUAAAAGCAAAUAUAAUUGCAAUACCAAUACUUUUGGUUAGUUUUUUUGGAUAGACACGAUAAAAUACACAGUAGUUUAGUUUUCAAACUAAGGGUGACAACAAGCUCCAAUUCUUCUUCUGAUUGGAAGAGAAAACUGAUGGGUUCAUCUGCAGCAGCAGCAAGGACCUUAUCAUGAAGACAAGGAAGAGACUCUGGAAUCCUGAAACCAUUUUCACCAGACAGUAGUGAGGCGAAGGCCAACUCACACCCAUUUGCCAAUGUAAUCAGCCCAUUAUCAAAACUCAUAUUCUUCUCCAUGUUUGUUUUGUAGUUCCACCUAAGAAUUGACAUUA